This 253-nucleotide ribosomal RNA is filed under the name uncultured bacterium. RNAcentral's name for it is "partial 16S ribosomal RNA". It matches the Rfam family "Bacterial small subunit ribosomal RNA", at positions 524 to 776 of the family's 1533-position model. The record is from RNAcentral.
GACAGAGGGUGCAAACGUUGCUCGGAAUCACUGGGCGUAAAGGGCGUGUAGGCGGGAAGGAAAGUCAGAUGUGAAAUCCCUGGGCUCAACCCAGGAACUGCAUUUGAAACUCCCUUUCUUGAGUGUCGGAGAGGAAAGCGGAAUUCCUGGUGUAGAGGUGAAAUUCGUAGAUAUCAGGAGGAACACCGGUGGCGAAGGCGGCUUUCUGGACGACAACUGACGCUGAGACGCGAAAGCUAGGGGAGCGAACAGG